CUACCACAUCCAAGGAAGGCAGCAGGCGCGCAAAUUACCCACUCCCGGCACGGGGAGGUAGUGACGAAAAAUAACAAUACGGGACUCUUUUGAGACCCCGUAAUUGGAAUGAGUACACUCCAAAUCCUUUAACGAGGACCCAUCGGAGGGCAAGCCUGGUGCCAGCAGCCGCGGUAACUCCAGCUCCGAUAGCGUAUAUUAAAGUUGUUGCGGUUAAAAAGCUCGUAGUUGGAUCUCAGUUCCAGACGUGCGGUCCGCCUACCGGCGGUUACUGCUCGUUCUGAACACAUCGCCGGUUUCCCUUGAUGAUCUUCACCGGUUGUCUCGGGUGACCGGCAAGUUUACUUUGAAAAAAUUAGAGUGCUCAAAGCAGGCGUGACGCCUGGAUAAUGUUGCAUGGAAUAAUGGAAUAGGACCUCGGUUCUAUUUUGUUGGUUUUCGGAUCACGAGGUAAUGAUUAAGAGGGACAGACGGGGGCAUUCGUAUUGCGACGCUAGAGGUGAAAUUCUUGGACCGUCGCAAGACGAACUACUGCGAAAGCAUUUGCCAAGAAUGUUUCCAUUAAUCAAGAACGAAAGUUAGAGGUUCGAAGGCGAUCAGAUACCGCCCUAGUUCUAACCAUAAACGAUGCCAGCCAGCGAUCCGGCUGUGUUCCUCAAAUGACACGCCGGGCAGCUUCCGGGAAACCAAAGCUUUUGGGUUCCGGGGGAAGUAUGGUU
This 719-nucleotide ribosomal RNA is filed under the name Olgania excavata. Its description in RNAcentral is "SSU rRNA". It matches the Rfam family "Eukaryotic small subunit ribosomal RNA", at positions 407 to 1130 of the family's 1831-position model. Lineage: Eukaryota; Metazoa; Arthropoda; Arachnida; Araneae; Micropholcommatidae. The record is from RNAcentral.